CCCCAAACUGGGGGUAUAG
This 19-nucleotide unclassified non-coding RNA is filed under the name Arthrospira sp. TKF1. RNAcentral's name for it is "intergenic spacer". The record is from RNAcentral. Lineage: Bacteria; Bacillati; Cyanobacteriota; Cyanophyceae; Oscillatoriales; Microcoleaceae.